AACGAACGCUGGCGGCAGGCCUAACACAUGCAAGUCGAGCGAAGUCUUCGGACUUAGUGGCGCACGGGUGAGUAACACGUGGGAAUAUACCUUACGCUGGGGGAUAACAUCGGAAACUGAUGCUAAUACCGCAUACGCCCUUCGGGGGAAAGAUUUAUCGGCGAAAGAUUAGCCCGCGUCCGAUUAGCUAGUUGGUGAGGUAAUGGCUCACCAAGGCUCCGAUCGGUAGCUGGUCUGAGAGGAUGACCAGCCACACUGGGACUGAGACACGGCCCAGACUCCUACGGGAGGCAGCAGUGGGGAAUAUUGGACAAUGGGCGCAAGCCUGAUCCAGCCAUGCCGCGUGAGUGAUGAAGGCCUUAGGGUUGUAAAGCUCUUUCACCCACGACGAUGAUGACGGUAGUGGGAGAAGAAGCCCCGGCUAACUUCGUG
Molecule: ribosomal RNA, 432 nt
Filed under: uncultured bacterium
Lineage: Bacteria
Description: partial 16S ribosomal RNA
Rfam family: Bacterial small subunit ribosomal RNA
Source: RNAcentral